GGAUCAGGCACCGGGGUCCGGAUGGCUGGAUUCUGUGUAGCUACCACCUAGAUAGCACAGGAGGGGCCUGCGGGUGCCCGAGGCACCGGUGGAAACCUACCGGUCAUCAGGUACACGGAGUAUGUGGUGGCUGGAGCCAUUCGCUGAGAAAGGGGCCGUAAGAAGAGGUGAAUUUUGGAUGGCAUACGGUGACCCGGGUGACCCAGUGGAGUGGAGAAAAGUUUUCCAAAAAGCAGGUGCAUAUGCUGAGGCCCAGUGGUUCUAAGGACUGGGACUUAGUCCAAGAAACUUCCCAACUCCGAAUGAACUUGUCUCCAUUAUCGGAGGCCUUUUCUGCUGUUAGUAAACAGUCAUUUAGCAGCUAGUACUCUUAAUUUUUUAAAUAAAGAUUUGUUUAUUUAAAUGA
Molecule: non-coding RNA, 406 nt
Organism: Cricetulus griseus (Chinese hamster)
Lineage: Eukaryota; Metazoa; Chordata; Mammalia; Rodentia; Cricetidae
Source: RefSeq, a predicted model, not a curated record